CAUGCAAGUCGAGGGGCAGCAUGAUUGAAGCUUGCUUCAAUUGAUGGCGACCGGCGCACGGGUGAGUAACGCGUAUCCAACCUUCCGUACACUCAGGGAUAGCCUUUCGAAAGAAAGAUUAAUACCUGAUGGUAUGAUGAGAUUGCAUGAUAGCAUCAUUAAAGAUUUAUCGGUGUACGAUGGGGAUGCGUUCCAUUAGGUAGUAGGCGGGGUAAUGGCCCACCUAGCCGACGAUGGAUAGGGGUUCUGAGAGGAAGGUCCCCCACAUUGGAACUGAGACACGGUCCAAACUCCUACGGGAGGCAGCAGUGAGGAAUAUUGGUCAAUGGACGAGAGUCUGAACCAGCCAAGUAGCGUGAAGGAUGAAGGUCCUACGGAUUGUAAACUUCUUUUAUAAGGGAAUAAAACCUCCCACGUGUGGGAGCUUGUAUGUACCUUAUGAAUAAGCAUCGGCUAACUCCGUGCCAGCAGCCGCGGUAAUACGGAGGAUGCGAGCGUUAUCCGGAUUUAUUGGGUUUAAAGGGAGCGCAGACGGGUCGUUAAGUCAGCUGUGAAAGUUUGGGGCUCAACCUUAAAAUUGCAGUUGAUACUGGCGUCCUUGAGUGCGGUUGAGGUGUGCGGAAUUCGUGGUGUAGCGGUGAAAUGCUUAGAUAUCACGAAGAACUCCGAUUGCGAAGGCAGCACACUAAGCCGUAACUGACGUUCAUGCUCGAAAGUGUGGGUAUCAAACAGGAUUAGAUACCCUGGUAGUCCACACGGUAAACGAUGGAUACUCGCUGUUGGCGAUAUACAGUCAGCGGCUUAGCGAAAGCGUUAAGUAUCCCACCUGGGGAGUACGCCGGCAACGGUGAAACUCAAAGGAAUUGACGGGG
This 872-nucleotide ribosomal RNA is filed under the name uncultured bacterium. RNAcentral describes it as "bacterial SSU rRNA". It matches the Rfam family "Bacterial small subunit ribosomal RNA", at positions 54 to 918 of the family's 1533-position model. The record is from RNAcentral.